RNAcentral lists this ribosomal RNA (148 nucleotides) under Storeria dekayi. RNAcentral describes it as "partial 16S ribosomal RNA". The record is from RNAcentral. Lineage: Eukaryota; Metazoa; Chordata; Lepidosauria; Squamata; Natricidae.
UCGGUUUCUAUCUAUGAUAGACUUAUACCCAGUACGAAAGGACCGGCAUAAGAAAGCCAAUGCUAAAAACACGCUUUCACACAACCAUAAAAUUACCCUUCUACUUCUUUUUAAACCAAGACAAGGUUAAUUAAGGACACAGCCCUUA